RNAcentral lists this transfer RNA (84 nucleotides) under Actinomycetota bacterium. Its description in RNAcentral is "tRNA-Leu". It matches the Rfam family "tRNA". From Rfam's summary of the family: Transfer RNA (tRNA) molecules are approximately 80 nucleotides in length. Lineage: Bacteria; Bacillati; Actinomycetota. The record is from RNAcentral.
GCGGCGGUGGCGCAAUCGGCUGACGCGGUGCUCUCAAACAGCACUGUCCGAAAGGACGUGUGGGUUCGAGUCCCACCCGCCGCA